GACGAACGCUGGCGGCGUGCUUAACACAUGCAAGUCGAGCGGUAAGGCUCCUUCGGGAGUACACGAGCGGCGAACGGGUGAGUAACACGUGAGCAAUCUGCCCAUCACAUCGGGAUAACUUCGGGAAACCGAAGCUAAUACCGAAUACAACCACUUCAGGCAUCUGACGGUGGUGGAAAGUUCCGGCGGUGAUGGAUGAGCUCGCGGCCUAUCAGCUUGUUGGUGGGGUAAUGGCCCACCAAGGCUUCGGCGGGUAGCCGGCCUGAGAGGGUGACCGGCCACACUGGGACUGAGACACGGCCCAGACUCCUACGGGAGGCAGCAGUGGGGAAUAUUGGACAAUGGGCGAAAGCCUGACCCAGCAACGCCGCGUGAGGGAUGACGGCCUUCGGGUUGUAAACCUCUUUCAGCGCCGACGAAGCGAAAGUGACGGUAGGCGCAGAAGAAGCACCGGCCAACUACGUGCCAGCAGCCGCGGUAA
RNAcentral lists this ribosomal RNA (481 nucleotides) under uncultured bacterium. RNAcentral's name for it is "partial 16S ribosomal RNA". It matches the Rfam family "Bacterial small subunit ribosomal RNA", at positions 28 to 523 of the family's 1533-position model. The record is from RNAcentral.